This 440-nucleotide ribosomal RNA is filed under the name uncultured bacterium. RNAcentral describes it as "partial 16S ribosomal RNA". It matches the Rfam family "Bacterial small subunit ribosomal RNA", at positions 338 to 795 of the family's 1533-position model. The record is from RNAcentral.
CCUACGGGCGGCAGCAGUAGGGAAUAUUGCUCAAUGGGGGAAACCCUGAAGCAGCAACGCCGCGGGGAGGAUGAAGGUUUUCGGAUUGUAAACUCCUUUUGUUAGAGAAGAUAAUGACGGUAGCUAACGAAUAAGCACAGGAUAACUCCGUGCCAGCAGCCGCGGUAAUACGGAGGGUGCAAGCGGUACUCGGGAUAACUGGGCGGAAAGAGCGCGUAGGCGGGAUAGCAAGUCAGAUGUGAAAUCCUAUGGGUUAACCAUAGAACUGCAUUUGAAACUGUUAUUCUAGAGUAUGGGAGGGGUAGGUGGAAUUCUUGGUGUAGGGGUAAAAUCCGUAGAGAUCAAGAGGAAUACUCAUUGCGAAGGCGACCUGCUAGAACAUAACUGACGCUGAUGCGCGAAAGCGUGGGGAGCAAACAGGAUUAGAUACCCGGGUAGUC